GCAUAUCAAUAAGCGGAGGAAAAGAAACUAACUAGGAUUCCCUUAGUAACGGCGAGUGAACCGGGAUGAGCUCAAAUUUGAAAUCUGGCGUCUUUCAGGCGUCCGAGUUGUAAUCUAUAGAGGCGUUUUCCGCGCCGGACCGCGUCCAAGUCUCUUGGAAUAGAGUAUCAAAGAGGGUGACAAUCCCGUACUUGACGCGACAACCGGUGCUCUGUGAUACGUUCUCAACGAGUCGAGUUGUUUGGGAAUGCAGCUCUAAAUGGGUGGUAAAUUCCAUCUAAGGCUAAAUAUUGGCGAGAGACCGAUAGCGAACAAGUACCGUGAGGGAAAGAUGAAAAGCACUUUGGAAAGAGAGUUAAACAGCACGUGAAAUUGUUAAAAGGGAAACGAUUGAAGUCAGUCGUGUGAAAGGUUAUUCAGCCGUCUCUGGCGGUGUAUUUGCCUUUCACGGGUCAACAUCAGUUUAGUCCGGUAGAAAAAGGCUGGAGGAAGGUGGCACCCUCGGGUGUGUUAUAGCCUCCUGUCACAUGUGCCGGAUUAGACUGAGGAACGCAGCUUGCCGCAAGGCCGGGGUUCGCCCACGUACAAGCUUAGGAUGUUGACAUAAUGGCUUUAAACGACCCGUCUUGAAACACGGACC
RNAcentral lists this ribosomal RNA (640 nucleotides) under Cryptococcus sp. VTT C-04549. RNAcentral describes it as "eukaryotic LSU rRNA". It matches the Rfam family "Eukaryotic large subunit ribosomal RNA", at positions 38 to 667 of the family's 3401-position model. Lineage: Eukaryota; Fungi; Basidiomycota; Tremellomycetes; Tremellales; Cryptococcaceae. The record is from RNAcentral.